CUCGUAUCCUUUCUGCUUCUAUUUUCACCCUCAGGCUGAGAUUCACAUUUUACUGAAGCAAGCUUUUCAUUGACCCCUGAUACAGAGCCUUCAAAUUGACUUCCCUGGAGGCUGGCCACUGACAGGGUCUUUACCCUCUCCUCCUUAACCAUGGACACCCCUCCUCCUUCAGCAGUUGAAAAGAACUUUUUGGACAUGAAUUACAGAAAUAAAACUUCCAUUAGUGCAGCAGUAAGAGAGAUACAGUUGUCACUAGCUUCCCAGCAGGAAGAUCAGCGCUAUUGGAGGUCAGAUCAGAUCUACAGUAGAAUGAUCCAAGUUCUAAUACCCUCGGACCAGGAAGGAUAUGCAUAUUAUAGGACCUGGGCAGUCCAGCUCUCCACUGACUUCUGCUACCCCCAUGGAUUCUGGCCAGCAGUUCUCUCUUGUGCUCCAACCACAGGCCCCACAGCACCUCCGCGCCACAAUGAUGGUGAGUGAUUGGCAACAGGGAGUCUCCAAUGAUGGAGUGAGACCUGGAGGGCCCAGCUUGCUCAGAGAACUGUUGUUUCUGGCUCCUCCCCACUAAUCACCAAAGACUUAUUGGGCUUAAACCAAAAGCAGCAGACAUACUAAGUUUAAUAUUGACCAGUUACCUCUUUGAUCAAGCAAGGUAUUUGAAACUGGUGAAUACCAGUACGUCAGAAACUUAUAUAAGGAUGCCUAAAGAAGGAACUUGGCCCACAAAACACUUGCUUCAUGUGCAUGUGGUUUUUGCUUAAAAACUAGAUAUGACUUGAAU
Non-coding RNA from Callithrix jacchus (white-tufted-ear marmoset), 781 nucleotides. NCBI's taxonomy places the organism in Eukaryota, Metazoa, Chordata, Mammalia, Primates, Cebidae. The record is from RefSeq and is a predicted model, not a curated record.